Molecule: ribosomal RNA, 433 nt
Filed under: uncultured bacterium
Lineage: Bacteria
Description: partial 16S ribosomal RNA
Rfam family: Bacterial small subunit ribosomal RNA
Source: RNAcentral
AGCGAACGCUGGCGGCAGGCCUAACACAUGCAAGUCGAACGAACCUUUCGGGGUUAGUGGCGGACGGGUGAGUAACACGUGGGAACGUGCCUUUAGGUUCGGAAUAACUCAGGGAAACUUGUGCUAAUACCGAAUGUGCCCUUCGGGGGAAAGAUUAAUCGCCUUUAGAGCGGCCCGCGUCUGAUUAGCUAGUUGGUUGAGGUAAUGGCUCACCAAGGCGACGAUCAGUAGCUGGUCUGAGAGGAUGAUCAGCCACAUUGGGACUGAGACACGGCCCAAACUCCUACGGGAGGCAGCAGGGGGGAAUCUUGCGCAAUGGGCGAAAGCCUGACGCAGCCAGGCCGGGGGAAUGAUGAAGGUCUUAGGAUUUUAAAAUUCUUUCCCCGGGGACGAUAAGGACGGUACCCGGAGAAGAAGCCCCGGCUAACUUCGU